GACGAACGCUGGCGGCGUGCUUAACACAUGCAAGUCGAACGGAAAGGCCCUGCGUUUGUGGGGUGCUCGAGUGGCGAACGGGUGAGUAACACGUGAGUAACCUGCCCUUGACUUUGGGAUAACUUCAGGAAACUGGGGCUAAUACCGGAUAGCAGCUCCCGCUGCAUGGAGGGGGUUGGAAAGUUUCGGCGGUUGGGGUUGGACGCGCGGCUUAUCAGCUUGUUGGUGGGGUAGUGGCUUACCAAGGCUUUGACGGGUAGCCGGCCUGGGAGGGUGACCGGCCACAUUGGGACUGCGAUACGGCCCAGACUCCUACGGGAGGCAGCAGUGGGGAAUAUUGCACAAUGGGCGGAAGCCUGAUGCAGCAACGCCGCGUUCGGGAUGACGGCCUUCGGGUUGUAAACCGCUUUCGCCUGUGACCAAGCGUGAGUGACGGUAAUGGGUAAAGAAGCACCGGCUAACUACGUG
Molecule: ribosomal RNA, 468 nt
Filed under: uncultured bacterium
Lineage: Bacteria
Description: partial 16S ribosomal RNA
Rfam family: Bacterial small subunit ribosomal RNA
Source: RNAcentral